GGGCGAUUAGCUCAGUUGGGAGAGCACCUCCCUUACAAGGAGGGGGUCACUGGUUCGAAACCGGUAUCGCCCACCA
This 76-nucleotide transfer RNA is filed under the name Haemophilus influenzae. RNAcentral's name for it is "tRNA-Val". It matches the Rfam family "tRNA". From Rfam's summary of the family: Transfer RNA (tRNA) molecules are approximately 80 nucleotides in length. The record is from RNAcentral. RNAcentral also lists the same sequence under 2 other names. Lineage: Bacteria; Pseudomonadati; Pseudomonadota; Gammaproteobacteria; Pasteurellales; Pasteurellaceae.